RNAcentral lists this unclassified non-coding RNA (235 nucleotides) under plant metagenome. Its description in RNAcentral is "partial contains small subunit ribosomal RNA, internal transcribed spacer 1, and 5.8S ribosomal RNA". The record is from RNAcentral.
UUUCCGUAGGUGAACCUGCGGAAGGAUCAUUACUGAGUGAGGGCCCCUCGGGGUCCAACCUCCCACCCGUGUUUAACGAACCUUGUUGCUUCGGCGGGCCCGCCUCACGGCCGCCGGGGGGCAUCUGCCCCCGGGCCGCGCCCGCCGAAGCCACCUGUGAACGCUGUCUGAAGUAUGCAGUCUGAGACAAUUAUUAAAUUAAUUAAAACUUUCAACAACGGAUCUCUUGGUUCCG